RNAcentral lists this ribosomal RNA (1556 nucleotides) under human gut metagenome. Its description in RNAcentral is "bacterial LSU rRNA". It matches the Rfam family "Bacterial large subunit ribosomal RNA", at positions 1288 to 2925 of the family's 2925-position model. The record is from RNAcentral.
GUGAGAAUGCCGGAAUGAGUAGCGAGAAUUAUGUGAGAAUCAUAAUGGCCGAAAGACUAAGGUUUUAGAAGGAAGGUUCGUCCGCUUCUAGUCAGCCGGGAGCUAAGGCGAGGCCGAAAGGCGUAGUCGAUGCACAUACGGUGGAGAUUCCGUAGCCGCCAUUAAUUUAAACAGAGGGACACUUUCAAGGGGCAUGACCCGGGCGUUGGUAGACCCGGGCGUAAGGGACCGAAGAUUAGUAGGGAAGCAUGCUUUAAGGAAGGCGAGAAAAGCUCUGUGUAUAGAAGAUGGCGCCCGUACCGCAAACCGACACAGGUAGUCAGGAAGAGAAUUCUAAGGCCAACGGGAGAAGGGUAGUUAAGGAACUCGGCAAAUUGACCCCGUAACUUCGGAAUAAGGGGUGCUCACGAGAGUGAGCCGCAGUGAAUAGGUCCAGGCGACUGUUUAUCAAAAACACAGCUCUCUGCUAAAUCGAAAGAUGACGUAUAGGGGGUGACACCUGCCCGGUGCUGGAAGGUUAAGAGGAAGGGUGCAAGCUCUGAAUUGAAGCCCCAGUAAACGGCGGCCGUAACUAUAACGGUCCUAAGGUAGCGAAAUUCCUUGUCGGGUAAGUUCCGACCCGCACGAAUGGCGUAACGACUUGUGAGCUGUCUCAACAGGAGGCCCGGUGAAAUUGAAGUAUGUGUGAAGAUGCACAUUACCCGCGACUGGACGGAAAGACCCCGUAGAGCUUUACUGUAACCUGACAUUGGAUCUUGAUAACGGAUGCACAGGAUAGGUGGGACGCAGAGAGACGAGGACUUCGGUUUUCGUGGAGCGGCCGUUGGGAUACCACUCUUCUGUUAUUGAGAUUCUAACCUCAAGCCGUAAGCCGGAUGAGAGACAGUGUCAGGCGGACAGUUUGACUGGGGCGGUCGCCUCCGAAAGAGUAACGGAGGCGCCCAAAGGUACCCUCAGAAUGGAUGGAAACCAUUCGAAGAGAGCAAAGUCAGAAGGGUGCUUGACUGCGAGACCAACAAGUCGAGCAGGUACGAAAGUAGGGCUUAGUGAUCCGGCGGUAAGAGAGUGGAAUUGCCGUCGCUCAACGGAUAAAAGCUACCUCGGGGAUAACAGGCUGAUCUCCCCCAAGAGUUCACAUCGACGGGGAGGUUUGGCACCUCGAUGUCGGCUCAUCGCAUCCUGGAGCUGAAGUCGGUUCCAAGGGUUGGGCUGUUCGCCCAUUAAAGCGGUACGCGAGCUGGGUUCAGAACGUCGUGAGACAGUUCGGUCCCUAUCUGUUGUGGGCGAAGGAGAUUUGAGGAGAGCUGUCCUUAGUACGAGAGGACCGGGAUGGACCUACCGCUGGUGCACCGGUUGUUCCGCCAGGAGCAUAGCCGGGUAGCUAAGUAGGGAAGGGAUAAGCGCUGAAAGCAUCUAAGCGCGAAGCCUACUCCAAGAUGAGAUCUCCCAUUCGCAAGAAGUAAGACCCCUUGAAGACGACGAGGUAGAUAGGUCAGGGAUGGAAGCAUAGCGAUAUGUGAAGUUGACUGAUACUAAUAGGUCGAGGACUUAAUCAC